RNAcentral lists this ribosomal RNA (535 nucleotides) under uncultured archaeon. RNAcentral's name for it is "bacterial SSU rRNA". It matches the Rfam family "Archaeal small subunit ribosomal RNA", at positions 465 to 997 of the family's 1478-position model. The record is from RNAcentral.
CCGCGGGAACACCGGCGGCCCGAGUGGUGAUCGUGAUUAUUGGGUCUAAAGGGUCCGUAGCCGGUUUGGUCAGUCCUCCGGGAAAUCUGAUAGCUCAACUAUUAGGCUUUCGGGGGAUACUGCCAGACUUGGAACCGGGAGAGGUAAGAGGUACUACAGGGGUAGGAGUGAAAUCUUGUAAUCCCUGUGGGACCACCUGUGGCGAAGGCGUCUUACCAGAGCGGGUUCGACGGUGAGGGACGAAAGCUGGGGGCACGAACCGGAUUAGAUACCCGGGUAGUCCCAGCCGUAAACGAUGCUCGCUAGGUGUCAGGCAUGGCGCGACCGUGUCUGGUGCCGCAGGGAAGCCGUGAAGCGAGCCACCUGGGAAGUACGGCCGCAAGGCUGAAACUUAAAGGAAUUGGCGGGGGAGCACAACAACGGGUGGAAGCCUGCGGUUUAAUUGGACUCAACGCCGGACAACUCACCGGGGGGCGACAGCAAUAUGUAGGCCAAGCUGAAGACUUUGCCUGAAUCGCUGAGAAGUGGUGCAUGG